GUUUGAUCCUGGCUCAGGACGAACGCUGGCGGCGUGCUUAACACAUGCAAGUCGAACGAGGGCUUCACUUCGGUGGGGUUUCUAGUGGCGAACGGGUGAGUAACACGUGGGCAACCUGCCCCCGGCUCUGGGAUAACUCCAAGAAAUUGGGGCUAAUACCGGAUAUUCACUGCUGACCGCAUGGUUGGUGGUGGAAAGAUUUAUCGGCUGGGGAUGGGCCCGCGGCCUAUCAGCUUGUUGGUGGGGUAGUGGCCUACCAAGGCGACGAUCGGUAGCUGGUCUGAGAGGAUGACCAGCCUCACUGGGACUGAGACACGGCCCAGACUCCUACGGGAGGCAGCAGUGGGGAAUAUUGGACAAUGGGCGCAAGCCUGAUCCAGCAAUGCCGCGUGAGUGAUGAAGGCCUUAGGGUUGUAAAGCUCUUUUACCCGGGAUGAUAAUGACAGUACCGGGAGAAUAAGCUCCGGCUAACUCCGUGCCAGCAGCCGCGGUAAUAGCU
Molecule: ribosomal RNA, 499 nt
Filed under: uncultured bacterium
Lineage: Bacteria
Description: bacterial SSU rRNA
Rfam family: Bacterial small subunit ribosomal RNA
Source: RNAcentral